RNAcentral lists this ribosomal RNA (429 nucleotides) under Acidobacteriota bacterium. RNAcentral describes it as "Acidobacteria bacterium partial 16S ribosomal RNA". It matches the Rfam family "Bacterial small subunit ribosomal RNA", at positions 355 to 776 of the family's 1533-position model. Lineage: Bacteria; Pseudomonadati; Acidobacteriota. The record is from RNAcentral.
UGGGGAAUUUUGGACAAUGGGGGAAACCCUGAUCCAGCCAUCCCGCGUGUGCGAUGAAGGCCUUCGGGUUGUAAAGCACUUUUGGCAGGAAAGAAACGUCAUGGGUUAAUACCCCGUGAAACUGACGGUACCUGCAGAAUAAGCACCGGCUAACUACGUGCCAGCAGCCGCGGUAAUACGUAGGGUGCAAGCGUUAAUCGGAAUUACUGGGCGUAAAGCGUGCGCAGUCGGUUCGGAAAGAAAGAUGUGAAAUCCCAGAGCUCAACUUUGGAACUGCAUUUUUAACUCCCGGGCUCGAGUGUGUCAGAGGGAGGUGGAAUUCCGCGUGUAGCAGUGAAAUGCGUAGAUAUGCGGAGGAACACCGAUGGCGAAGGCAGCCUCCUGGGAUAACACUGACGCUCAUGCACGAAAGCGUGGGGAGCAAACAGG